RNAcentral lists this ribosomal RNA (493 nucleotides) under uncultured bacterium. Its description in RNAcentral is "bacterial SSU rRNA". It matches the Rfam family "Bacterial small subunit ribosomal RNA", at positions 1 to 492 of the family's 1533-position model. The record is from RNAcentral.
GAUUAGAGUUUGAUCCUGGCUCAGAUUGAACGCUGGCGGCAUGCCUUACACAUGCAAGUCGAACGGUAACAGGGAGCUUGCUCCGCUGACGAGUGGCGAACGGGUGAGUAAUGUGUCGGAACGUACCUUUCAGUGGGGGAUAACGUAGCGAAAGUUACGCUAAUACCGCAUAUUCUGUGAGCAGGAAAGCAGGGGAUCGCAAGACCUUGCGCUGAUUGAGCGGCCGAUAUCAGAUUAGCUAGUUGGUGAGGUAAAGGCUCACCAAGGCGACGAUCUGUAGCGAGUCUGAGAGGAUGAUCCGCCACACUGGAACUGAGACACGGUCCAGACUCCUACGGGAGGCAGCAGUGGGGAAUUUUGGACAAUGGGGGCAACCCUGAUCCAGCCAUGCCGCGUGAGUGAAGAAGGCCUUCGGGUUGUAAAGCUCUUUCGGCCGGGAAGAAAUCGCAUAGGCUAAUACCCUGUGUGGAUGACGGUACCGGAAUAAGAAGCA